RNAcentral lists this microRNA precursor (77 nucleotides) under Myotis davidii. RNAcentral's name for it is "mir-184 microRNA precursor family". It matches the Rfam family "mir-184 microRNA precursor family". Lineage: Eukaryota; Metazoa; Chordata; Mammalia; Chiroptera; Vespertilionidae. The record is from Rfam by way of RNAcentral.
CCAGCCACGUCCCCUUGUCACUUCUCCAGCCGGCUGUGCCAGUGCUGGACGGAGAACUGAUAAGGGCAGGUGACUGC